UACGAAGGGGGCUAGCGUUGCUCGGAAUCACUGGGCGUAAAGGGUGCGUAGGCGGGUCUUUAAGUCAGGGGUGAAAUCCUGGAGCUCAACUCCAGAACUGCCUUUGAUACUGAAGAUCUUGAGUUCGGGAGAGGUGAGUGGAACUGCGAGUGUAGAGGUGAAAUUCGUAGAUAUUCGCAAGAACACCAGUGGCGAAGGCGGCUCACUGGCCCGAUACUGACACUGAGGCACGAAAGCGUGGGGAUCAAACAGG
Molecule: ribosomal RNA, 253 nt
Filed under: uncultured bacterium
Lineage: Bacteria
Description: partial 16S ribosomal RNA
Rfam family: Bacterial small subunit ribosomal RNA
Source: RNAcentral